RNAcentral lists this ribosomal RNA (505 nucleotides) under uncultured bacterium. RNAcentral describes it as "partial 16S ribosomal RNA". It matches the Rfam family "Bacterial small subunit ribosomal RNA", at positions 28 to 523 of the family's 1533-position model. The record is from RNAcentral.
GAUGAACGCUGGCGGCGUGGCUAAGGCAUGCAAGUCGAACGGAAUACUAUGAGUAGUAAUACAAGUGGUGUUUAGUGGCGAACGGGUGCGUAACACGUGGAUACAUUCCGGAAAGCGGGGGAUAGCCCAGGGAAACUUGGAUUAAUACCGCAUCUGGUCGAGAGACUAAAGACGGGGAUCGAAAGACCUGUUACUUUGCGAUUGGUCCGCGGCCUAUCAGCUAGUUGGCGGGGUCAAAGCCCACCAAGGCUACGACGGGUAGCUGGUCUCAGAGGACGACCAGCCACACUGGAACUGAGACACGGUCCAGACACCUACGGGUGGCAGCAGUCGAGAAUCUUUCACAAUGGGGGCAACCCUGAUGGAGCGACGCCGCGUGGAGGAUAAGGUCUUCGGAUUGUAAACUCCUGUCAUGCGUGAACAAGGUUGCUUGGUUAAUACCUGGGCAAAUUGAUGGUAACGCAAGAAGAAGAGACGGCUAACUCUGUGCCAGCCGCCGCCGUAA